UACGGGGGGGGUAAGCGUUGUUCGGAAUUACUGGGCGUAAAGGGCUCGUAGGCGGCCAACUAAGUCAGACGUGAAAUCCCUCAGCUUAACUGGGGAACUGCGUCUGAUACUGGAUGGCUUGGAUUCGGGAGAGGAAUGCGGAAUUCCAGGUGUAGCGGUGAAAUGCGUAGAUAUCUGGAGGAACACCGGUGGCGAAGGCGGCAUUCUGGACUGAUAUUGACGCUGAGGAGCGAAAGCCAGGGGAGCAAACGGG
Molecule: ribosomal RNA, 253 nt
Filed under: uncultured bacterium
Lineage: Bacteria
Description: partial 16S ribosomal RNA
Rfam family: Bacterial small subunit ribosomal RNA
Source: RNAcentral